This 114-nucleotide ribosomal RNA is filed under the name Salmonella enterica subsp. enterica serovar Typhi. Lineage: Bacteria; Pseudomonadati; Pseudomonadota; Gammaproteobacteria; Enterobacterales; Enterobacteriaceae. The record is from RNAcentral.
CCUUUUGNUAGCGCGGUGGUCCCACCUGACCCCAUGCCGAACUCAGAAGUGAAACGCCGUAGCGCCGAUGGUAGUGUGGGGUCUCCCCAUGCGAGAGUAGGGAACUGCCAGGCA